Callithrix jacchus (white-tufted-ear marmoset) is the source of this 40672-nucleotide non-coding RNA. NCBI's taxonomy places the organism in Eukaryota, Metazoa, Chordata, Mammalia, Primates, Cebidae. The record is from RefSeq and is a predicted model, not a curated record.
CUACGCCUCAGUGAGCGCCCCAAAGAACCCUAGAUAUGGUCUCUUCCUAGUCCGUUCCGGAAAUGCGACUGCGUACGGGCUCGCCACGUGAUCGUGACGUCAGCGCGCCGGCGCGGGCGCCGGCUGGCCGGACGCCCAAGGCUUCCGCGACAUUUUCGGUGGGUGAAAGGCCGCUUUACGCCACGGUGUUGCUGCGUUUGGGUUCUCUUCUGCAGGCUCUCUGCACCUGGUCACGAUUCACAAUGUACCACAAUAGUAGCCAGAAGCGGCACUGGACUUUCUCCGGUGAAGAGCAGCUGGCAAGAUUGCGGGCCGACGCCAACCGCAAAUUCAGAUGCAAAGCAGUGGCCAACGGGAAGGUUCUUCCGAAUGAUCCAGUCUUUCUUGAGCCUCAUGAAGAAAUGACACUCUGUAAAUACUAUGAGAAAAGGUUACUGGAAUUCUGUUCAGUGUUUAAGCCGGCAAUGCCAAGGUCUGUUGUGGGUACAGCUUGUAUGUAUUUCAAGCGUUUUUAUCUUAAUAAUUCAGUAAUGGAAUAUCAUCCCAGGAUAAUAAUGCUCACUUGUGCAUUUUUGGCCUGCAAAGUAGAUGAAUUCAAUGUAUCUAGUCCUCAGUUUGUUGGAAACCUUCGGGAGAGUCCUCUUGGACAGGAGAAGGCACUUGAACAGAUACUGGAGUAUGAACUACUACUUAUACAGCAACUUAAUUUCCACCUUAUUGUCCACAAUCCUUACAGACCAUUUGAAGGCUUCCUCAUUGACUUAAAGACCCGAUAUCCCAUGUUGGAGAAUCCAGAGAUUUUGAGGAAAACAGCUGAUGACUUUCUUAAUAGAAUUGCAUUGACGGAUGCUUACCUUUUAUACACACCUUCCCAAAUUGCCCUGACUGCCAUUUUAUCUAGUGCCUCCAGGGCUGGAAUUACUAUGGAAAGUUAUUUAUCAGAGAGUCUGAUGCUGAGAGAGAACAGAACUUGCCUGUCACAGUUACUAGAUAUAAUGAAAAGCAUGAGAAACUUAGUAAAAAAGUAUGAACCACCCAGAUCUGAAGAAGUUGCUGUUCUGAAACAGAAGUUGGAGCGAUGUCAUUCUGCUGAGCUUGCACUUAAUGUAAUCUCGAAGAAGAGGAAAGGCUAUGAAGAUGAUGAUUAUGUCUCCAAGAAAUCCAAACAUGAGGAGAUCGCCAAACUUUGGCAUCAGAGCAAGGUCCACACUUACCACUGAAAAUUUUCCCACCCAGCCCCAUUAAAAAAGUUAAAGUUUGAGAGAUUUUAUUUCAACACUGACAAGCUAGUUACUACCUACAAAGGUUAUCUCAAUUCUCCUCUCACAAAAAAACCUUCAAGGACAAAACGAGAUGUUAUGAAAUGCUACAUAGGUUAUAAUGAGGAAGAUCACUAAAGGAAGAAGGAGAAAAAGAAUUAAGAAAAUGUUUUGACAUCAAACUUCUUUAUUCCUUUAGUUCUACUAUCAAAUAAGCCCCCUAUUUCAGCUUAAAAAGAAAAUUAUUUCUACCAGUAUCUUCUUGGAAAAAUACACCUUUUCUACCAUAAAACAAUGAUACAGAGAAAAUGAAGUCAAGAGGAAAAUUCUUUAUUCAUUAGGUAAAUUUUGGUUUUACUGCUGAAAAUAUAAGGUAAAAUCGCAAAACAUCCAAAGAAAGUUGAGUGAGAUACACUGCCUCUAAGAGAAAAGACAAAGAUAUAUUACCUCUAAAACAGAAACAACUUGAAAGGCAACGAAAAUGUUGGAAGACAGAAAACUAUCUUUAAAACGGCAAAAGAAAAUGACUGCCAAUCUUUAAUAUCCAGCAAAACAUUUUAAUAAAUAAAUGUAAAGCUAUCAAUACAAUAAGAUCCAGCUAUGAAAAAAUGGUGUAAAAAUUAAUUACCACAUGGAUAUUCACUAGAAUAACUUUGUAUCACUAAGACAUCUUUCUACUUGCGCUUCUGAAAUUGUUAAUAUUUAAAGUAAUGCAGUAUUAAAAGUUAGAAGUUUAAUACAAGGAAAUAGAGGACUUGGAGUUUUCUUAAUAUUGAAAAUAAACUGGAAAAAUUACACAGCUGUGUAACUAGAGCCAUGCAAGAAAAAAGCAGUGCCAUCCAACAUUCAUUCAGCAUCAGGCUGAGCAAGUACACUAAUCACCUACUACAGAAGGCUGCUAUUAAUUUUCAUAUUAGACUUCAUCUAAAUACCAAAGGUCAACAUACCAGGUUCUAGGUACACACAAAGCAGGAAAUGUUCCAUGCUGGCAUUAAUAUGAUAACAUAAAGAAAAAGCAUUAACAUUAAUGUACAAUUUCCCCUACUGUCCUCUGGCAUUUGUAUCGUAUUAUGAUUCAUUCUUUAUCAACCUAUUUUUUAUUUGUCCUAUUAUAUGGUAGAGAUGUCUUCUCACUUUCUUGAAAUUUACUUUGUUAAUGCCAUUUGCCUUGGCAUUCAAUCUUCCUCACUGUUUCUCUUACUGUUUCACAGAAAGGCACGUUUUUUUUUUUUUUUUUGAGACGGAGUUUCGCUCUUGUUACCCAGGCUGGAGUGCAAUGGCGCGACCUCGGCUUACCGCAACCUCUACCUCCUGGGUUCAGGCAAUUCUCCUGCCUCAGCCUCCUGAGUAGCUGGGAUUACAGGCACACGCCACCGUGCCCAGCUAAUUUUUUUUUGCAUUUUUAGUAGAGACGGGGUUUCACCAUGUUGACCAGGAUGGUCUCGAUCUCUUGACCUUGUGAUCCACCCGCCUUGGCCUCCCAAAAUGCUGGGAUUACAGGCUUGAGCCACCGCGCCCGGCCAGAAAGGCACAUAUUAAAAAAAAAAACAGCUGACUGUAAACUAGCAUACUUUGAAAAAAAUAUUUUUAUUUUGUUUUAUUAGAGACAGGGUCUCACUCUGCUGUGGGUGUAGUGGUACACAGUCAGCCCUCUGCAAACAUUUACCUCCUGGGAUCAGACAAUCCUCAUACUUCACCCUCCUGAGUAGCUGGGACCACAGGUGCGCACUACCACACCUGGCUAAUUUUUUAAAGAGACGGGUUUCACUAUGUAGGCCCAGGCUGGUCUCCAACUCCUGGGCUCAAGUGAUCAGCUUAACUUGGGCUCCCAAAGUGCUAGGAUUAGAGGUGUGAGCCACCGUGCCCAUACAUAAAAAAAAUCUGUUUUCUAAAUAAUGAGACACUUUAGUUCCUACGAACAUAACUUUUUCAUACUAGGUUUCAGACUUAGUAUCAUUAACUAUAAGUCAUAACGAAGACUUUUUUAAAAAAAAAAAUCUUUAAGUUCUUUUAAGUCACCUUCAGCAAGAAACUGCACAAGCAGCAAGCUACAACCUUAUAGCAAGUUGUAAAUGUGUAUUUAUUGCUUUUCCCCCUACCAGAUAGAAAUUCCUUUCUUGUUGGUAACCAGAAUAGGAAUCAUUCAGAAUCUUUUAACUUGUACUUCAAGGAUCUGAUCCUUCAUUAACUCUAGCAAUUCUUUCUCUUUUACUGCCAAGUGUAAUGUGGAUCUUUCUUUUGAUUGUGCCAAUAGAUUUCCAAUCUAACUGCAUCUGUUCAUAUAAAGUUUACUGAAAUAAUGCUAAAGCUUUUUGUAUGAUCUUACAGAUAUUGCUAUAUUAAUCUUAAUACUUUAAGAUUCAUAUCAUUCCAGUUGUAAGUAUCACUAGUGAAUCAUUUUUAACCUCACUUUUCCAAGGCUGAAUUUCUGCCUGAAAUCCAUAAACUGUCAAAACAUGUACCUAUAAUUUGAGGAAGUUCACUCAUUCUUCAGUAAAUCUACAAAAUGAGAAUCAUUCACCAAAAAAGUUUUCUCCUGUAAUCAUAAACUUUUAUCAAAACUCUUCUUUUGGACAGCUAACAUGCUCCAGCAUCCAACAGUAGGUAUUUUGAUUCCAUCUCACAUAAGACUGAAAACAGAUGCAGCUGAAGCAGCUCAGAUUUUAUUAGAGCCUCCAUUUAAUAAUAUUUAACAUGGAAUUCAGGUCUACAAACAUAAGACAAUCUUCAUAUAAAUCUUUGAAUGUUCCUAUCAUGAUGCCUCAUCAUCAAUCAUAAACGUAACUCGCAUUUCCAUAGGACCUUCUUUGUUUCAAAUGUAUUUCUUUUCUGGCCUAGUGAGUUAAAUCUUUAUCUUAUGAAUCUAAUUACUUUCCAGUGUUAGUCAGCAAAUUGCCCUUAUGGUGGGAAAAUAAGUAUCUGUAAAUUAAAGCUAAUUUAUAAAGUAGUAACAAUGAAAAAGAUAUCAAAUUCAUUAUGUUAUUUUCAAGAACCUCCUUAUAUAUUUUGCAAUGAUAAUUAAAACAAUUUGAACUUCUGUUAAUAGAAAAAAUGUAAGAAACAAAAUGAGACAGUUUCUGCUUUAACACAAGAAGUAGCUUCAUAAUGAUCAACAAGAAACUGUGAGUAAAGUAAUAUUCAGAGUACCUGGAUGACUGAACAAGUAGGAAGUACUGAACUAUAGCCACUAUAAAAAACUCUCUCCAAAUGUUAUGCACCAUUCUUUUGCCCCAAUAAAAUAAUGAAUUAAAACAGUUUUUACAGGAUGACAGGAUUUCAAGUGUUACAAUUUUUGAAAUAUAAAACAUUUGUUAAAUGUUUGUACUACGAUAGGAUUUUACAACCACUAGUAUCUCAAGGGACACCUAUACUGAUUAAUUGAACACUGGUUGGGAAGCUCUCCUCAACUAUUCAAAUAAAUUUAUACCCAUCCUCCAAGAAUCAAGAACCACCUAUUUCAUAUUACUGAUCUCAACAGAGUUGUUCCAAAAAUACCUUACUGUUUUAACUGUUUUCAUGAUAAUAAACUACACUUAGUAGGGAAUAAUGUUGUCUCCCCAACAUCCAUUUCAAACAUACAUAUAAGUAUAGCAGCCUCACUAUUUGGGUGCGAUCAUUUCCAGCCACAGGUCUGGGCACAAAAGGGCCUCCUCAUUCUAUCAGGAUAAUCCCAUUCCUUUUACCUCAGGUAACCCAGAACUAAAAAUUGGUUCAGAGGUGACUCAACAGCAUGUUUUCAAGAUUUUUAAUAAUUAAGGGAGAGAAUGCUUACAGCCCUUUCUCUGGUGCUGUUUGCCACCUUGCUACCAUGUAGGGAACUGGUUGAGGAAUUCAACCCACAAGAAGGGUGCAGAGUAGAACUAAAGAGAAAAGGAGGCAGAGGCCUGAUCCAACCACAUUUGAAGGCUAAGAUUAUCAGGUUGUUGAAGGAGGGGGAAAAAAAUCUCAAGAAAUCCUAUCUCACCCAACCCUUGUGUUUUUUGGAGCAACUCUUUAUGAGUUAUUAGAGAGUAUUCAGGGGGAAAAAAGGAAGGUAUCUUUGUAAAAUAAAUUUAUGAAGUAAAUCAUACUAUUUUAGACAUGCACAAUAUAAAUACUAAGGUAGCAAAAAGCCAUGCUAUAAGUAAAACUAUUUAUUCAAUCAGCAUUUCCCAAACUUGUUUGAUCAUUUUUUAAAAUUGUCAAAAUCACAUAUAACACUAAUGUGAUCUCCUAAACACACGCUGAAAAAAGAAGUGACAAGGCUAUAUAUUUUAGAUAUUUCUCUUGAAGAGAAAUAUUUCAACAGGAUAAAACAUACAGAAAUGCCAUCCUGUAGCAGAAAAACAGCUGCUGAAACAUUUGUUUUAACUGCCUUUUUUCUUAUUAAUUAUAAAAAUGAGUAACAAAAGUAGUAAAUACAUCUAAGAAGACUGGGAUGGAUUACUGAUAAUACUAAUAGUGAAAGGUAAAGAAAGGGCCUUGUUCUUGAGCAAAAAUCCAGAUGUAAUCAAAAGCUGGAUUUGUCUUGUGAUGUUUAGGAUUCAGCUUAUACAUUUAUAUUCAUUUUUUAAAAACCGAGAAAAUCAAUGUAAGAAGAAUUUUUUUUUAUUUCAAAUACAUUUUUCCUAUCAAAACAAUUUUAAUAUUUUUAAAUAUUAACUUUCUUAAGAACUUUUACAGAGUUAAUAGCAGAAUUGAGUGCAGCUAGUACUAUUGGGUGCACUGAGGUAAAAGCAUGUGGAAAAAAACAGAGGAAAGGUGACAAAGACUCUAAGUCACUCAAAAGAUUGCUGGUGGGGGCAGGGAGGAAACAUAUACUACAGCAAAUGUCAUUCCAAAGAUUUCUAUGCAGUACAAUGGAGUAGACUUUAUGCAUACGUUAGUCUAAAAUUAAGCAAAGAAGGCAAAAAUUACCUAGAAAGUAAAUUUGCUUUUAGAACAUGAUCUUAGGGCUCUCAAAAUUGGUUUAACUUUAUACCCACUAUUUUAUUGUUAAGACAAUUCCAAAAGAAAACCAUCUUACCUGUCAAAGAGACUAUCGUGAACAACAUAGACAGAACAGACACUGAGAUCUAUUAAUCCUUUUGGUUUUGUAGCUCGUUUUUCACUUUCGAAAUAAAUAAGUUGGGCAUCACUACCCUCUAAGAUAAAGUACAAAUUUUUCCAACGUUUUCCUUUGCCUGUUUUUUUUAAAAAAACAAACAAAACGCUUUUAGCAAACAAUAAAUUGUGAAAUCCUAUAUAUGUGUUGUUGAAAAUAAUUAAAAAUGAAUCAAUUUUUAUUCCAAAGUUUAUGUAAUAUGCCAAUGCUUACAUAAUGAGAAAAUUCCUGUAACGAACAUGUACAAAAACGCCUUUUGUUAUAUUACUUGUUUUAAUUAGUCACAGAGUAUAUCGUCAGAGAUUUCAACAUGAUGAAAUCAUGAGAAUUCUUGUUUUGGAGUAAUUAUUUUCCAGCUUUAAGAAAAAAUUCUUCCACUGAAGGAUACCCCUAGCCACAAUUCCCCAACAUGCCUUUAUGUCAAAUUGAGGAAAAUCUGUAAAAUAUCAAUACUAUGAUGGGCCAUGUGCCAUAAGGAGUAACUAAAAGAAAAAGGAAAAAAAAAAAAAAAAAAACAUGGACAGAAGAAAUAAAGAUUCUGGUUGAAACUGUAGACCUUUAAUAUACCUACACUCUUAAUUUUGAAGGAUGCUUAUAUGUAGGCUGUAAACAAGUGUCAAUUACUAAUAACUCAUGUCAAAACAACUUAUUGACUAUGUAUUACAAUAAUUUGGAGCACCAUAUUUACAGUGUCUCUAUCAAAUUGGUUAAUGAUAAAAUUCUGAAAUUACUUACCCUUUUUCAGAAGAUAACCUUUCUUAACAAUAUUUUUAUAAAAGGCAUCCUUUGUUUUACGACGGAUGGUAUUAUAGAUUUCCUUGCCAUCCACUGUGUCAUUGAGUACUUGUUCUUGAUCCUGAAUUUUAAAAACAUUAAAAUUAUUUUAUACAUUCUUGAUGGAAAUGAGGUAAAAAUCUAUUAAAUUACCAAUUAAAAGCCAAAGUGCUUAAAAUACUAAAAUCUAGAUGUACAUAACACAUAAACAGUCUUUUGCUUUCCAAAUAAAUUCUCAGAAAGGUUUACUUAUUUUUUUCCCAAGAACACAGACAACAACUUUCACAGAAAGGUUUCCUUGCCAUUCCCAAGAACAAGUUGUCUUUUUCUAUGUACAACUAAUAAACUAUUUUUAAAUACAGUCAGUUAUAUUUUACAGCAAACAAUGUAUUAAAAACAUAAACUUGUCCCAGCAUAACUAAAUUGGGACCCAAUAUAAGCAUAAAGCAAAAUCAUGUUUGCUUAUGCACAAUUAUGUCUGUAGAAAUGCUAGCUGAAUACAGACAACAGAACCCAGGUGAACUAAUAAGUAAGAAUGUACAAAAUAUACACACCUCAAAUACCUAACAAUUCCCUCAAUUCACUAAGUGUGUCACAUGCUACACCCAUCCAUCCAUAGCUAGUGUUAAAACCCUGAUUUCAGAUAAUCCUCCUCUGCCAUUCUGCAACAUUCCCAUGCUUCAACCCUACCAAUGGCCAUUUCCACAUGACUUUCCACUUCAGGCCUUUAUUCAAGGUAAAGUGCCAUAUUUAUUGUAGUAUGUACAUAUUUGUUAAUCAUUUUGCAUAUAUAAAACUAAGCAACAUAUUAGGUUCUUACUUUCUUAAUAUAUCACUGAUGAAAUUUGUGUUACACCCCUGACCUCACUUUUCCCAAAAGCCCUGUGAUUUUUAUUGCCUGAUUUUGCAUAAUGCCAUUUUUAGGAUUGCAUGUUACAUUUUGGCAGAACGGACAUAAAUUGCUAAAUCCCCUGAAAAAAAGAAUUAUAUCAGGAAGCCUUUAUUAUGAUCCUUCCAUAAUAAACGAAUCUUUUACUAUCAAGGUGAAUUGUUUUCGUUUUUCUAUUUCUUUUUUGGCAUAGUUCUUAUAUUUUGCAAGCAUUAAUAUUUUAUGACUUUUAGUCCAUCUUACAAACUUCAUUGUUCCAUUCAAUCCUCUUAUAAAUCUAAGAUAUGCUGUGGUAUUUUCAUAAUUCUCUCUCUCUCUCCUUUAUCUUGAAACAUUAUGCUGUCUCAUCAUCCUAGAAACUAUACAUCAUUACUUAGAAUUAUUCCCAAGUAUGCUUAAAAAAAUCCUAAAAUAACAGAAAACAGAAGAAUGAAUUGCCUACAACAGGGCUAACAUAUUAUGGCAUCCAUGCUAAAUGCAAUCCACCACCUGUUUCUUAUACAUAAAGUUUUAUUGGAACACAGCCAUGCUUAUUCCCUAACAUCCUGUCUGUGGUUGCUUCCAAAUAGGCAGACUUUAGUAGACAAACUAAAUGAACUACAAAACCCUAAAUAUUUACUAUCUGGCCCUUUACAGAAAACUUCUGCCAAUGCCUGACCUAGAGGAUGAUGUGACAAUGAAAUAAAUCAUCUCUAUUGCAUCACUCUGGGCUUUUUUGUCCUUUUUUAUUUAACUGUGUUGUAAAGUAGUGAAGCAUCUUUUGAAAAAGUAUAAAAGGCCAUCUUUGCUGUCUUUUUAGCUUUCAACAUACUUAAAAUAUUCAGAACUCUUUAUUUUCUGCUCAUAAAUGGUAAAGAGAAAAAACUGACACAGGAAGAUGUUUGACAAUUAGAAAAAUAAUAAGAUGAAUGCAAAAAAAACAGCAGCACUCUAUCACGAUGGCAGAAUUGAUUUUGAUAAAUCUCAAACUGUGAUUUUUCAGUGAUGAUAUACUUGAAUUUCCUCAAACUCAAGAAACACUAAGUGAACCAUAUUAUUUCUAAGGGAAAAAAAGGAAAUAUAAUGUUAUCAUCUGAUCAGUUAUUGAACAGGAAGAACGUCACCAUGCAAUAUUUUGUGAUAAGAACCUGGAUUAUCCUGUUUUGCUAAAAAGAAAUGAGAGACUAUUGUUUAAAUUUCUAUGUACAUCAAAAUUUACUUAACAUGAUUUGUGAAUAGACAGACAUUAAAGGCCAUUUGUAUAAAACAUUACUGAAAGUAAACAUAUGACAGAAAUUUUUAAACUCACUGGAUUGAUCACUCUCCAACAUCAGUGUUAAUUGGUGUUUUAAAAUCUAAACAAAAAUAUUUUACAAAUAUGGAGCAAAGGACACUGUACUCUCCAACAAAAUUAUGAGCCAUCAAUGUUUUCAAAAGUACUGCAUUUUGCUCGCACUGUAAUUUCAGCACUUUGGGAGGCUGAGGCGGGCCAAUCACCUGAGGUUAGGAGUUCAAGACCAGCCUGGCCAAAGGAUGAAACCCCGUCUCUACUAAAAAUACAAAAUUAGCCAGGCAUAAUAGACACGCCUGUAAUCCCAGCUACAUGGGAGGCUGAGGUAGGAGAAUCGCUUGAACUUGGGAGAUGGAGGUUGCAGUGAGCAGAGAUCACGCCAUUGCACUCCAGCCUGGGCAAAAAAGAGUGAAACUCCAUCUCAAAAACAAAAAACAGAAAAACCCCGCAUUUUGAUAAUACAAAAACAAGAAAGAGGCCGGGCGCAGUGGCACAAGCCUGUAAUCCCAGCACUUUGGGAGGCCGAGGCGGGUGGAUCACAAGGUCAAGAGAUCAAGACCAUCCUGGUCAACAUGGUGAAACCCCAUCUCUACUAAAAAUACAAAAAAAUUUAGCUGGGUAUGGUGGCGCGUGCCUGUAAUCCCAGCUACUCAGGAGGCUGAGGCAGGAGAAUUGCCUGAACCCAGGAGGCGGAGGUUGCAGUGAGCCGAGAUCGCGCCAUUGCACUCCAGCCUGGGUAACAAGAGCGAAACUCCAGCUCAAUAAAAAACAAACAACAAAAAAAGAACAAGAGUCAUAAGCUAGACUUCAGUAGUGAUGUAUUUAAAAUCUGGAAUUGAUACUGCAUUUGAUAGAUACAAUGCAAGAAGAACCAAAGUAAUUACAAGUAGAACAUUAUCAGACAUGUAUCUGCUUCUAAACGUGGAAUCAGAAUUUACAAAUGGCUGUGUUCCAGGUCUGUGCACCAAGGGUAAAGAACUGUUAGUUGCAUUUAAAAAAUUGUGCAUUUCAGGUAUGUAAGCCUUUCUAACCAUAAAAACAUGAAACAAAAAUUUGGGUAUGCUACAUCUGAAUUCUUAAUACAUUUUCCAAUGAAAUUGUUUUUGGAUUAUAGUUUGAUUCUUGCUGAUGCGAAUUAUUUGUAAGAUGAUUUAGGAAUAUAAAACCUUAGAAGUACUGCAGAUUUGGAUCCAGACCACCGCAAUCAAGCCAGCCAUAUAAAUCUUUUGGUUUCACAGUGCAAGUAGAAGUUAUGUUUACAACUAUACUGUAGUCUAUUAAGUGUGCAAUAGCAUUAUGUCUAACAAUGUACUUGUGUUAAUUUAAAAAUACCUUAUUAAUAAAACUGUUGGUCCAUCCAAGGUGGUUUACACCUAUAAUCCUAGCGUUUUAGGAGACCAAGGCAGAAGGAUUGCUUGAGGCUAGGAAUUCAAGACUAGCCUGGGCAACAUACCAAGACUCUAUCUCUACAAAAAUAUUAGCUAGGCACAGUGGUGUACAGCUGUAGUCCUAGCUGCUGGAGAGGAUGAGGCAUGAUGAUUGCUUGAGCCCAGGAAUUCAAGGUUGCAGUGAGCUACAGUUGCACCACUGUACUCCAGCCUGAGUCACAGGGCAAGACCCUGACUCCGGUCAUCUAGGCCUUCACUGAGUCUCUUGCCUUGAUACUGAUGUCUGCUGAGUGAUUAGGGCAGUGGUUGCCAAAGGUUGGGGUGGUCGUGGCAAUUUCUUAAAAAUGAAGUCUGCUACAUCAAUUGACUCUUCCUUUGACAAAAGAAUAUGCUGUUUGAUACCAUUUUACCCAUAGUUGAACCUCCUUCAAAACUAGAGGCAUUCCUCUCAAACCCUCUUGCUGCUUUAUCAAGUACGUUUAUAGAAUAUUCUAAAUCCUUUGUUUUCAUUUCAACGGUGAUCACAGGAUCUUCACAGGAGUAGAUUCCAUCUCAAGAGACCACUUUCUUUUCUCAUCCAUAACAAGCGACUCCUCUUUCACUCCAGUUUCAUCAUCAAAGUCUCAGUCUCAUCUUCAGGCUCUACUUCCAAAUCUAGUUCUCUUGCUGUUUCUACCAUAUCUGCAGUUACUUCCUCCUCAGUCAUCUUGUAGCCUUGAGCCCCUCAAAGUUAUCCUUAAGGGUUGGAAUCAGGUUCUUCCAAACACCUGUUGUUAUUGUAGCCUAUGCCCAUGAAUCACAAAUGUUCUUAAUGGCAUCUGGAACAAUGAAUCCUUUCCAAGGGGUUUUCAAUUUACCUUACCCAGAUCCGUAAAAGGAAUCACUAAUUUUGGCAACUGUAACAGUAUGAAAUUAUUUCUGAACUAAGGAUUUUAAAGUCAGAAUUACUCCUUGAUCCAUGGGCUACAAAAUAAAAGUUGUGUUAGCAUGAAAACAACAAUCUCCUUGUAUAUCUAUCUCUAUCAGAGCUCUUAAGUAAAGAGUUGCAUUGUCAGUGAUCAGUAAUAUUUUGAAAGAAAUAUUUUGUUCUGAGUAAGUUUCAACAAUGGCCUUAAAAUAUUCAGUAAACCAUGCUGUAAACAGAUGGGCUAUCAUGCAGGCUUUAUAGUUCCAUUGACAGAGCACAGGUACAGUAGAUUUGGCAUAAUUCUGGUACCCCUAUGUUUUUCAGAAUUGUCAAUUGGCUUCAACCAAAAGUCACCAGCUGCAUUAGCCCCUCACAAGAGAGUCAGCCAGACCUUUGAAGCUUCAAAGCUAAGCAUUAACUCUAGCCAUGAAAGGAUGGUUUCUUUACACUGAAAGUCUGUUGUUCAGCCACCUUCAUCAGUUACCUUCUGGAUAGCUUGGCUAGUUACCUUCUGAAAAACUAGCUAGAUGUUUUGGGUAACUUGCUACGGUUUCUACAUCAGCACUUUUUGCUUCACCUUACACUUUUAUGUUAUGGAGAUAGCAUCUUUCCUUAAAUCUUUUUUUUUUUUUUGAGACGGAGUUUCGCUCUUGUUACCCAGGCUGGAGUGCAAUGGCGCGAUCUCGGCUCACUGCAACCUCCGCCUUCUGGAUUCAGGCAAUUCUCCUGCCUCAGCCUCCCGAGUAGCUGGGAUUACAGGCACGCGCCACCAUGCCCAGCUAAUUUUUUGUAUUUUUAGUAGAGACGGGGUUUCACCAUGUUGACCAGGAUGGUCUUGAUCUCUUGACCUUGUGAUCCACCCGCCUCGGCCUCCCAAAGUGCUGGGAUUACAGGCGUGAGCCACCGCACCCGGCAUUUCCUUAUAUUUUAUGAACCAACCUCUGCUAGCUUCCAAUUUUUCUUCUGCAGCUUCCUCACCUCUAUCACCCUUCAAAGAACGGAUGAGAGUUAGGGCCUUGCUUUGGAUAGGCUUUGGCUUAACGGAAUGUUAUCUGUGGUUUAGUCUUCAAUCCAGACUACUCAAAUUUUCUCCGUAUCAGCCAUAAGUCUGUUUCACUUUAUUAUCAUUCAUGUGCUCAAUUCAGUAGCACUUUUAAUUUCCUUCAACAACUCUUCAACUUGGCUGUUUGGUGCAAGAGAGACCUAGUUUUCAGCCUAUUUGGCUUUCACCAUGCCUCUCUCACUAAGCUUAAUCAUUUCUAGAUUUUGACCUGAUGUGAAAGACAUGCGACUUUAUCUUUCACUUGACCAUUUAGAAACCAUUGUAGGGGUAUUAAUUGGCCGAAUUCCAAUAGUGUUGUGUCUCAAGGAAUAGAAAGGCCCAAGGAGAGGAAGAUAAACAGAACAGCCAGUCAAUGGAGUAGUCAGAACAUACACCACACUUAUCCAUUAAGCUUGCAGUCUUCUUCAGAUGCAGUUCAUGGCACCCCAAAACAAUUGCAAUAGUAACAUUAAAGAUUGCUGAUCACAGAUCAACAUAUAAUAGUGAAAAAUUACCAAAAUAGUGUAAGAAUUACCAAAAUGUGACACUAAGACAUAAAUGAGCACAUGCUUUGGAAAAACAGUAGCAAUAGAUGUCCUUGUUGCCACAAACCAUCAAUUUGUAAAAGACUCACUAUCUUUGAAGCAUAAGACAAUGCACAAUAAAACAAGGUGUGCCAGUAUAUUGAAAUGUGACAAGUUUAUGAUGAUUCUUGAAUUUGUAUUUGGCUUCAGAAUGAUGAUUCCUUACCAGCAGCCCCUCCCAUAACUGCAAUAAGUAGUAGGUAUAGCCAUCUGAAAUGAACUUGUUAAGAGGAGGAAACAUCAAGAAACGAGGCACACUACAAAUCACUGUACAACUGCAGCUGAGUACCCAAAACCCUUCGCAAUCUUUUAUGUCACUAGAAUAUCAGUACCUCCAUUUUCCACUUAGGAAAAUUAUUAAUCCCUCUUUUGAAGCACCUUUUUCUAACCCCUGUUACACCAUUUCCCUACCAUACACUUCAGAAAAUGCAAUGAGGAAGAAAUAGGCUAAUCACCAUAAGCAACUAAUAUUUAAUAGGCUCUCUUGCUCAUGGCCAGUCUUUCCUUUUAUAUUCUACAUUCUAUUCAUUUUUGUCUUCUCUAGGACCUUGUCCAUAAGAUACUACCACCACCCAUCUCCCUGUACAUCAUCAUUCUCUUUAUUACUAUAUAGUUUUUACUCAGAGUAUACAGACAUUCUCAAAUUCUCUCACCAUAAAACUACAGGCAAAUAAAGAAAAGUAUAAACCAGUUUUUACCCUAAUCCUCUUCUAUCACUUUUUAUUUCCUUUUAGUACUCCCCAGUCUUUAAAAAGCAUGGCUGUGGUUUAUCCCUGCUGUUUCUACUUUUGCCUCCAAAAAACUCCCUCCUGUUCCUAGUGCAACUUGCCUUUCCCCACAACUGGUUCUACUCUCAAAAAGACACUAGGAUGUUCCUGAUUACCUAAAUGAACAUAGAUAAAAACUAAGAUUCUCUUACAGUUCACCUUAUAAAAAAAUCUAAAUUAUCUGCAGUUUUAAAUUGUAUCCAAACUUAAUUGUACAAAUGUGUGCAAAAACAUACCACCAAAAUGCAUUUUAAAAUAAAAUGUUAAUUACUGCAAUAAGAAACGCAACACUGACCUGCAUUGGUACAGGUUCCUUAAGAUAAUACCCUUCAACAAUCUGUUCUUUUCGAUAGUGAUCUAUGAUGUCCCCAAUGCUGUUAAAAUAAAAAUUUCUAAUAUUAAUCUGUCUCAUAAAAAUGCAAAAUCCUUAAAAAUAUGUGUGAACUUUCUACCAAAGAUUAUCUAAUAAAUAAAUUUUUUUCAAAGCACAUAACACAAAUAUAUUAAUAGAAUAAAUAUGUAAUGUUCAUAUUAUUUUAGAAAAACUAGAAUGUUCUCAAUAUAGGUUUACAGGCCAGAAUACACAGCACAGAUUCUGAUUUUCCAUACACAUCAAGAGGGCAGCCAAGUCAACAAUGCCAUACUCAAAGAGUCAUCAUAAAUGAGGAAGUAACUGAAAGUCUACCUUUUUUUUCACCCCCAAGAGUACUUCUGAGAUACUAAGAAUGAAGAAUUCACAGAAACAUGGUACUUAUUUAGGAAGCAAGUUCAAGUAAAUUAAGAAUUUUUAUUGUUACAACAUUUACACAUUCUGGUUUCAGAUCAGAAACAGGUCAUAAAACACAUGAAAAACAGGCAAAAAUAGAAUUAAAAAUGAGUUAAUCUUACAUGUAAGAUUAUCACUAUAGAGAGAAAAGUUUAUUGAUUAUUUUGAUUAGAAGUGCUACAAAUUAUUCUAAAUACUGGGAAAAUAUUUUAAAAAACAAAAUUGAAAAUAAAAUGACAAUGUAUUUUAAUAUAAAUUUUAGUGAACCACCUAAUUUUUAAAAUAUAAACUCAUUCCUCUAUAAUCAGUAAGAUCAUUCUGUUGUCCUAAAUAUGGAAAUCUUGGAAUUUUAAACUUCCCUUUAAUAUACUGGACAAAUGGUAACUUUUGAGCCACCUAGGAAACACUUCUCCAGACAGAUUUUAAUUUUCAUAAUGCACUUAUCACAUAAAACCAUGUGCACUCUUCUUGAAGCAUAGAUAAAUGUUAAUCCUCAAGGUCUGGCCAAAAUCCAUUCUCUUCCUUCUCACCACCCACUGAACUCUCAUCUGCUGAUUCCCAUGCACAUUUAUACAUCACCUGAAUUUAUCACAGUCUGCAUACUAUACUAUCUCUUCUAAUAAACCUGAGCACUAAUAAUGAAGAAAUUCUUUUUCUUUAAUGUAUUGACACAGGAUUUGUACAGUAUAUUUCACAAAGUAGAUAAGUCUAUAAAUUUCUGCUGAAUUAAAUUUGCUAUUAAAUGCCUUUUUGGCUUUUUUAAAACUCUCAAUAUAGGAACAUUAAAGUUAUGUCUUCAUAGUUUCUAAAUGAAAGACAUAACUACUGCCUCUCUUUCUCAAAGGUCUCAUAUGUAUAGUAGAUGGAGAGAUGGGACAGCAGAGUAUGGCUGUAUUUCUUCCUAGGAAUUAUUUCCAACAUUGUUACUAAUGUUAAUGCUGAAAUGAAAUAUAUAUUUCCAAAACAAUUACAAAAUCCUUCAUUUUCAUGAUACCUGAUUAACAUAAUUUGGGGCUUUCUUUAAAAAGUUUAAUGUUAAAACUAGAAACAGUAAAAUGAAUUUGUAAACAAAUUCAGAGGGAAUAAAAAUUCUAAAAAAUCAAAGUUCUUGGGGAAUGGUCAAGGCCACUAAAUUAAUAUACAUUUAACUUUAAAAAAAAAAAAACCUGAUUUUGAAAACAGACUAAUAAUAUUGCAAUAAUUUGGACAGAAAUCACUUAAAAUACUUCUUUUUUCAUGUUCCAUCAUGGUAUUUGGCAAAAAAAAAAAAAAAAAGCAACUACCUUUUCAUGUUUUACUUAGUACCUCCACUAUGCAGCAAGAAUUUCCAAUUUUGUGUGAUAUGUAUUAAGGAAGUUUUAGUCAGUGACAAAACAAACUUCCAAAAAUUCUAUGUAAAUUGUUUUAUCUUUAAAAACAAUCUCAAUAUGGACAUUCAUUCAGUUAAGAAGAAAAUAUGUUUUCAGUGUAUUAUUUUAUAUGUUCUAAAUCUCUAGAAAACUGGAAAUGGGAAAAAUUACAUUCUUAAAGAGUUCAAAUUGCAGUUAGCUGUAUUUUCAGUGAGGACAUCUAGAACUCAGAUUGUCAUGCAGAAAGUACUCAAGCAACUUGUAUAUGAGGUAGGCAAAAGGGUCCCACUGCCUAGACUCCCAUUUUACAUUUGAUGUCUUGUAACAGUCAAGUGAGCUUCCAGCAAGCAACCAGAAGAACUUGUUUUAUUUUUUGGUUGUUUUUUUUUUUUUUUUUUUUCCCAGAUAAACCAGCUACAGAAUCUCUCUUCAUUCAGAUGUCUAGUUUGAUAAAUUCUAAUUCAGAUAGAGAUUGCUACUGUGGUAUUGAGGGGUUAAACUAGGCAAAUGUAAGUGUUUUAGAACAAGAUUAUGCCAGCCUCUGAAAAAGGAAAAUAAUGUUACUCUAGAGUUAUUAGUUAUAGGAAACCCUUUACAUUCACAAAUGAAGAUUAUUUUCUAUUUGACAGAAAAAUGACAGAACAUUCUAUCAUAUGGUUUCCUCUAUUAACUUAUUUUCCUAAUCAAGUAAUAAUUCAUUCUGAGUUUUGGGACAAUUAGUUUACUUUGAAAGUGAGAAGUAAAAAGCAACAAUCACAUAUAAGAAAUGUCAACUUGAGAACAACUCAAUUACAAGAUAAUCUGUAUAGUAAGUCUCAGGUAACUUUAGAAACUUUUUUUUUCAUACUAAAGUAUCUCACUAAUAAAAUAAUAAUAUUUUCUUUUUCUUAGAUAUUUUGCUCCUCCUACAGAUUAUAUAUGGAUUUAGCAAAUUUUUUUGCAAACAGCUUAUGUCUAAUUUUCAAAUAGCAAAAAUUACUUUGGAAGGAAACAAAGUAUAAGUUACUAAUUUGUAUUCAUAUUUGACACUGUCUAAAGAAUUACUGGGCAUGACUAUUAUGAAGUUCUUAUAAUUUUUUGAAGCUAGAAACUUUUAUAUAAUUUUGAAUCUUUUAUUAUCAAGAUUUCAACUAUUUUUGCUAAAAGUAAAAGGUAACUAAAAAAAUUAUGAUUUACCUGUUAUAAUACCGGCCUCCCAUCAUAAACUGAUUGUUUGGUGUUGGACAUAUUUUAAAUCGCUGAAUAUUUUCACUGGUCCGAAAAUAAAGUGAAUAAUCACCAGGAGUAUUAUCUGAGGGCCUCACAAGAAAACUGCAGACUUGACCAACUGUAAAAAUUAAUCUGUUAGUUUUGUUACCUAAUUAUCAAAUAAAAAAGAAAAGAUGUUAAGUAGAAUUAUUACAAAGUCCAUUCAAAGUCAUAAACAUGUAAAUUUUCACCAGAACAUGUUUUUUAAACAAAUUUUCUGGUUUAUGAUUCACAACUAUCCAUUUUGUCUAUCUGCUCUCUCUGAUGUGUCUUACCAGCUUUAAUACAUAAAAGUAGAGAGCAGAAAUUUUGCAGCAUAACUUCUGGUCAGUAAUGGCUACACCUGUCAUAAUUUGGAAAGGUAACCUAAGCAAAAUUAGGGAAUAUGAGCUAAAACUGCUAAAAUCUGUUUGUAAAUCCUCUUGAUAAGAUUCUAAAAAGUAAAGACUAAUUUUGCUUAAGAAUACACUGUGCCUAACGUUUUCAAUUAAUCAUUAAACAAUAAUGACUGUGCCAGGCAUAGAGGUAUACAUGCAUAUAAUCCCAGCUAUUCAGAAGAAUCACUUGAGCCCAGGAGUUCAAUACCAGUCAGGGCAACAUAGCAAGAUCCUAUCCUAUAUUUAGUAAGAAUAAACAAUGACAGGAUGAUUAAACCAACAAUAUAAGUCAAUUUUAACUUUGUAUUUAUAAGCAAAAGAGUUUUGGGAAAUGUUAAAAUUAAUACAUAUUAAAUAGACUAAAUCAUGUAAUUCCACAAGUGUACAAAGAUAUAUACAAGAAUCUCUUUUAAAAAAUAACGAUUGUAAUAAAAUAGUACCAAAACCUUUUAAAAAGGUAGAUUCAAAACAACUGAAAUAUAUAUAUGAAUUAUCAAAAUCAAUACACACACACUGUAUUUUAUUCAACAGGUAUGCUCCUACAAGAAAUUAUAGAAGAAAAUUAUCAUACAUUAAAUAUGCCAUAUUAAUUUUAGAGAACUGUUGAUAUCUUUGAUUGGCAGUGACUCCUAAUACUGAGAUGCUCUACCUUUUCUCUUUAUUUAAAUAUCUAAUUUAUUUAUAAAUUAGAUAAAGUCCUUUUUCUGUUACCACAUGAUCAAAACUAAACAAUCAAUACAGUAAGUUUAAUUCAAAUUGAUACAAUGAAAUAAAUGCAAUUAAUCAAAUAAUCUCAUUCUUAAUACAUUUUUAUUAUAUUGUAUAUACAUACUAUAUUUUAUUUCAACAAAAUGUAAUAAAACUAGGAACUAUCAAAUAUAAACUACAAUUUUCAUUACCAAUACAAAAAUGGCAACAAUUUUUAAUCCUGAUUAAUAACAAACUGUUAUAGGUUUUCUUUUUCUUUUCUCCAUUUAAGUCCGAAUGAUAUAGAAAAGAUCAGGACUUGAUUGUUUUUAGGAAAGCACAAUAAAUGCGUAAGAUAUAAUUUUUUUUGGGUAAAUUACUAAUAGUUCCAAUCAUCCAAUCAAGGCACUUAUUAUCAACUAACUUCCUGUUCAGUAAAAAGAAAAAAUAAAUCUCCUAAAACUGAAUCUUCAAGACUCAACACAUAUGUAAACAUAAAAGUUACAAAAACUGACUGCAUAAUAUAGGCUAAAAUGAAAAUGUUUCUAAGUUGAUAAAACGAAUCUUAGUGACAAGACUCCAAGAUACUCUCUAAAUGUCUUCUAAAAUAUGAAAGGAAUUUCAUGCAAAAUUGUUCAUGUAAGUGCUUAUUUGUACUCCUCAGGAGAGAAAAAUCCCACCAGUUCUCAAAAGAGCACAUAACACAAAGAAAAUGCAAACUAAUGUAAGGAAAUUAAGCUUAGCUCCUUUUCAACCUUGUAUGCCUAAAACAAGAGUAAGUACCUCAAGUACUUGGUGAUACGAGUUCCAGAAGAGAAACUUAUAUUCAAAAUUCAGUAAAUUCACUAAACUAUUUAUUUUUGGUUCCACACUGAAAUGGCUGUUAGAAUGUCAUUUUAGUUUAAAAUUUCUUCUCUAUUAUUAUCAUAUAGCAUUAUCAUCUUUUUUUAACUUUUUGGAACCUAAUUAACUUACAUGUUCACAAUAAAAUUGAGUACUUCAAAAACUAUCUCAGAUCUUUCAAUAAAGUAUUAAAUUAAAAUGCAAUGCUUUUAGGCUGGGAGCUGUGGCUCACGCCUGUAAUCCCAGCACUUUGGGAGGCCAAGGCAGGUGGAUUAAAAGGUCAAGAGAUCAAGACCAUCCUGGCCAACAUGGUGAAACUCCGUCUCUACUAAAAAUACAAACAUUAGCUGGGGCGUGGUGGCACGCACCUGUAGUCCCAGCUGCUCUGGAGGCUGAGGCAGGAGAACUGCAUGAACCCGUGAAGGGGAGGUUGCAAUCAGUAAGAUCGCACCACUACACUCCAGUCUAGUGACAGAGCGAGACUCUGUCUCAAAAAAUAAAUAAAAUAAAAUAAAAUAAAAUGCUCUAUGGAUUAAAACAAUUCAGAUUACAUCUUUAAUAAUUAGUGUUAUCAACAUAAGAGUUUAUUUCACCAAAUACAGAAACUACUGAAUAGUCAACAUUUUUGAAGAAAUAAAACUUUUAAAUUACAUACUAAAGCUUAAACGCGUCUGAAAUCUUUAUAAGAUGUGCUCUGCCGAAGAAAUGCUUGGUUUUUAAAUUAAUUCAGCCUUAAAUAUUUAGUAAAAAUAAACAAUGACAGGAUGGUUAAACCCACAAUACAAGCCAAUUUUUUUUGUAUUUAUAAGCACAAGAGUUUUGGGAAAUGUUAGAAUUAAUAAAUAUUAAAUAAGGGUAAUCAUAUAAUUCCACAAGUAUACAAAGAUAAAUAUAAGAAUCUCUGCUGUAGCUGAACAGCAAAAGAGUAAAAUACAAUAUCCUUCUAUUAAAGACUAGUUAAUUACAGUACUUAUAUAUUGAAAAGUUUAAGGCCAUAAAAAAGAGUAAUGAAAAUUUUUAUCUGCAGAUACAGAAUCAUCUCCCAAUAUAUAUCUAACAUGAAGAAAUUGUGCUGCAUAUUUACAUGUGUGUAUGUGUAGGGGUGAGAGAGAUUCACAGAGACACAGAAAACUUCUAGAAACAUAUGGAAAAAAACUGUCAUCUAGUAUUACUUCUAAGAAGUGGACAGGAGCCUGAGGUAAAAGAAAAACACUUUACUAAAUUUUAUACUACAUGCAUGUUUAAAAUAUAAACAAAAACACCAGCUUCUUAGCACUGGACACAAAAUUAUAACAUGCAUAAACACUAAGCGUUUUGCUAAAUGCAAAACACAUAAUAAAUGCUUUGUUCACCUUUUUAUUCUCUUUAAAUAGACAUUAGAAAAGCAAGUAAAUACAAAGGUACCUGUCAUUAGUAAAUUGUAAGCUUCUUGUUUGGAAAUCUUCCCAUGGAACCAUCUUAAAAAGAUAAUAAAUUAGAUAUAUAAAGUACUUUUUUUGUUAUAUGAUCAAAACUAAACAUUUAAAUACAAUAAGUUUAAUUCAAAUUGAUAUAAUGAAAUAAAUGCAAUUAAUCAAAUGUCAUUCUUAAUACAUUUUUAUUACAUUGUAUAUAUAUACUAUAUUUAAUUUCAACAAAAUGUAGUAAAACUAGGAACUAUCAAAUAUAAACUACAAUUUUCAUUACCUAUACAAAAAUGGCAACAAUUUUUAAUCCUGAUUAAUAAUAAACUGUUAUCGGUCUUUUUUUUCUUUUUGUGGGGAGGAGGGAAGGAGUAGUAUAGACAGCACCUACUCCAGAAUUUCCUGAAAAACGUAAUAAAUUUUUUCUCCUAUUUCUGUAUUUUCCUAUAACAUGGAAAAUUUAACAUGAUGAUAAAUUCUCUCUUCCAAUAAAUUCAAGAUGUGUUGACUCUUACUUUGCUAAAAGCCAGAAUAUAAGACUGGGUGAUAAGAACAAGUGGAUACCAACACCAAGAACUGAAAGAAAAGAAGGACUUAGUGCUCCUAACUCUAUUGGAGCUAAUAGCCUAUCAAACUAGGUUGCUAAGUAUUUUAUAGUCUGUAUUCUUAAAUUAAGCCUUUCCAAAUUUUAUAAAUGGCAUCACAGUAAAAAUAUAGAGUAUAUAAUAACAUAAAUAUUUAAAUUUUACCUUCAAAUAAAAUAAUCUCUCUGAUUUAAAAAGUAAUUACUAGUUAUCAAAGUACAUAAAAUCACCUCUUAUUUACCUAAAGGCCUGAUUAACACAUCUUAAUGCCAGGCUGACAAUUCCCAAUCACCUUUCUACUACUUUGCUGUAUCUUAUUAGGGUCUACAGUUAAUCUAAAUAAUAGAUUAAAGAGCAAGCCGGAAAGUAAACAUAGGACUGAAAUACAUAAGUGCUCUAAAGUCCAGAGUUACAGGUUCAGAGGUUGUUCACAUUGUUUUAAAUGAUCCAUACUAUUAUUACUGCUGAAGAAUGAAAAUAUAAUUGAAUUUCUUUUCAUAUGAAUAAAAAGGUAAACUUUUCUUUAAUACCAUUCCAAGCAUGAACUCACUAAUUCAGAUCUCCUGGUGCUCCCUGUGCAAAUUUUGAAUAAUAUAAAGCAAAGUGUACAACAACUAAAACAGUCCAGACUGCAUGUAGUGAGGAUCUACACUGCAUUUGAGCAUAGGCUAAAUGACCACUUACUACAAAUGUUAGAGCAGGAUUUUUAUACUCUGGAGGAGAGUCAACUGAAUGACCUUACCUCCAAGGGUAAUCCUCUACUUUUACAGUUUGAAAAAAAAUUCAGAAAGAGAAUGGUAAAAAAAUGAUAAGGUUUACAGAUGAAAAAGAUUAUUUAGCAGAAGCACACAGUCUGAAGUUAAAGCGGCAAUAUCACUUUCUAAAAACAGUUUCAUUCUUCAGACAUUUAUUCCAGUAUAAAAUUUAUAUAUUUCAACCACAUGGUUUGCAACAAUGAUAAAAAGAUGAGUCCCUGAUCUUAUAAAGUUCUCACUCCUAGGCCAGGCAUGGUGGCUCACACCUGUAAUCCCAGUAUUUUUGGAGGCCAAAUCAGGAAGAGCUCUUAAGCCCAAGAGUUCAAGACCAGCCUGGACAACAUAGUGAGACCCUGUCUAACUACAGAAACGACAUAGAAAAUGUAAGCACAGUGAUAGGUAUUGCCCAAGGCAUUAUGGGAAUAACAGAGAAGGGUACCAAUUCUGUUGAGUGUGUAGGGAAGAAAAUAAAGGAAGAUUUCCUAGGGGGAAGUGAUAAAUGAGCUAAGUAUGAAUGGAAGAAUUCUGGUCUAGGAAGCAGCUUGAGCAAAGGUAUAAAGAAGAAAAAUAGCCAGGAACAAUGGCUCACACCUAUAAUCCCAACACUUUGGAAGGCCAAGGUGGGAAGAGGCCAGGAGUUUGAGACCAGCCUGGGCAGUAGAGUAAGACCCCCUCUCUACAAAAAAAAAUUUACAGCAUUUGCCAGGUGUGGUGGUACACAUUUGUAGUCUCAGCUACUUGGGAGGCUUAGGCAGGAAGAUCACUUGAGCCCAGGAAUUUGAGGCUGCAGUGAACCAUGAUAGCACCACUACACUCUAGCUUAAGCAGUGGCAAGAACCUAUCUCUAAAACAAUAAAGAAAAAAGUAGUAUGUGUUUGAAGACCUACAAGAUGGAGAUUAGAAAACUAGAGAUGAUAAGUGAUACGAGUAGUAAAGGACAAAACAGCCAUAUAAUGGAUCAUUUUUUUAGGCUCUGCUAAGGUAAAGGUGGAGAAUCAGUGUAAGAUUCAAUUUUUUAAUUUUUUUUUUUUCUGUUUUAAUGGAUAAUGUAUAUAACUAUUAUGUUGUAUAUUUUUAUGGGGUACCAGUGAUAUUUUGAUACAAGCAUAUAAUGUGUAAUGAUCAAUUCAGGGUAUCUGGGGUAUCCAACACCUCAAGCGCAUAUAAUAAUUUCUUUGUGUUAGGCAUAUUCCAAUUCCUAUCUUUUAUUUUUAAAUAUUCAGUAAAUUAUGGUAGCACCUUAUUGUGCUACCAAAUACUAGAUCUUAUUCAUUCCAUCUAGGCGUAGUUUUGUACUCAUUAAUCAGCCCUGCUGUAUCCCCCCUCCCCACCCUUUGGUAAGCACCAUUCUACUAUCUACAUGAGUUCAAUUUUCUAAUAUUUUGCUUCCAUAUGAGUGAGAACACAUGGCAUUUGUCUUUCUGUGCCUGGCUUAUUUCACUUAACAUGGUAUUCUCCAGUUCCAUUCAUGUUGUUGUGAAUGACAGGAUUUCAUUCUUGUUUAUGGCUGAAUAGUAUUCCAUUAUGUGUACGUACUAUAUUUUCUUUAUCCAUUCAUCCACUGAUGAACACUGAUUAAACAUCUUGGCAUUCUGAAUGGUGCUGAAAUGUGGGAGUGCAGCUUUCUCUUUGAUAUACUGAUUUCUUCUCAAUUUUCUGAGGAACUUCCAUGCUGUACUCUAUAGUAACUACACUUAUUUAUACUCUCACCAACAGGGUACAAGGGUUCCCUUUUCUCCACAUCCUCGCCAGCAUUCAUUAUAGCAUAUCUUUUGGAUAAAAGCCAUUAUAACUGGGGUGAGAUGAAAUGUCAUUGUAGUUUUGAUUUGCAUUUAACUGAUGAUCAAUAAUGAAUGGUGAGCAUUUUUUCAUGUAUCUGCUGGUGAUUAAGGAUUUUAGGUGAAAAUGUGAUACCAUCUAGGUAAAUUAUUCUAGCUCCUGGAAAAAAGGAUUUGAUAAGGCUAAAGAGUCAAGGGAGAUCAACUUGGAGGUUAUUGCUAUAUUGAAUCCUGGCAAGAGAUUUAAAAAGGCCUGAACUAGAAUAUAGUUAUUUAAGAUUUGAGAAGGCGGUAAACAUUCAAGAAAUAUUUUAGGAGACAAAACCAUCCGGACUCGGUGCCUAUAUCAUGGCAACAGAGAGCUGGAAAGAAACCCAAAAUUAUACCAUCUAUUUAAUCUCAAAGGGUACUUAUGGAUGUUACUGAGGACACUUUAAAGAAUUUAAAGUACCGCCUCAAUGCCAUAGUCCUGUAUUAAGAAAUUAAAGGGAACAAACACACACAUAAAAUAAACCAACAAUGCAAACUUUAGUUAUGCUAAAUACCAAAUAAGAAAUUACAUAAAGUUAAGAAAAAUGGAAGAAUGACAAUGCUAUCAGAUAAUAAGACUUCUAAGUGAAAGUGGGAUUUAUGUUUUAUGAGAAAUAUAUGCAGCUUUAAGUGUUUACUGGCAUUUAACCUAUAUUUUUAAAUUAAAAAUUCCAUUGCUAUAAUCCAAAAUAAAAAUAAAAAUCUAGAUUUAUGGUCUUUUGAAAAUCAGGAGGCUCUCACAACACUAGACUCACAUCCCUACACAUAUCAACUAGAGAGAUUACCUUACAACAGGCAAACUCUUUCUAGUUUUCCACCUCCCAGUUUUCUCUAAUAGCAUGAAUGAAUGUCAGUUGCCAUUUGUUACCACACUUAGUGUUGUUUUUUGAUAGUAGGAACAUAGUUCCAUGUACCUUGAUCUCUAUCAAAGAGGGAAAAUAAGAAAGAUCAAGAUUAUUGUCUCUAAAGAAAACUGGGAAUAUAUAUACCUGACCUACUUCACUUGCUUACAUUGUCUAUCUGAUCCUCAAAGCAUUAAUCAAAAUUUGCAACUCCUAGCCAGGCACAGUGGCUCACACCUGUAAUCCCAGCACUUUGGGAGGCCAACGCUGGUAGAUUACUUGAGGUCAGGAGUUCAAGACAAGUCUGGCCAACAUGGCAAAAACCCAUCUCUACUAAAAGUACAAGCAUCAGCCUGGCAUGGUGGUAUGCGCCUAUAAUCCCAGUUUCUCAGGAGGCUGAAGUGGAGAAUCAUUUGAACCUGGGAGGAAGGGGUUGCAAUGAGUAGAGAUCGUGCCACUGCAUUCCAGCCUGGGUGACAGAGCAAGGCUCCAUGUCAAAAAAUAAUAAUAAAAAUAACAAAAAAGAAUUAAAAACUCCUGAAGAGUAUUAGUUUGAAGAGGGGAAGACUUGUAACUAAUACAAACAGCAAGGUACAGUCUCCCUAAUGAAGUCUGUUUUGUAGCCACAAGAAAUAAUAAAAAUGAACUCAGAAAAUCUUACAUAUCUCACUUAAAGAAGGGUGAAGCAUUAAAUAAGGUGAUUGCAAAUGGAGUAGUCAGUUUAAUGUUUUUAUAUUCUAACGGUUAGCAAACAGAAAACCCAAACACUUGAGGCAAGCCUCAAGUUCCAUCCAUAAAUGCUGAACGAUAAGAAAAAAAAGUUGUACUACUGAAAAGAUAUUACAAGAUGAAUAAUCUAUUAAAAUAUAAGACAGAAUUGGGAUUAAUGGUUCAGAUCUUUAAAAGAAAACUUACAUAUACAUAAAAUCAGUCUGAAGAUUAUGAAAAAAAGACCUUGCAGAAUCCUAUUAAAAUUGUGAAGAACCGUUAUGAGGUUGGGGGGGUUGGGAUAAAAGAUGUGGCUUUAAAACAAGAAAUACUUUGAAUAACCAAUAAAUACUACGAAUAAUUUUAAAUUGUGCUGAACUGUGACAUUCAUAAUGUUAUAAAUGUAAUGUUUAUUGAAAGUUUUUAGGUGUGGUGAUAAAGAGAGUUGUAUUUAGUUGUAUCACUAGAUCCUUAAUAAAAUAUUUACAAAUCAGUUCCGUAAGCCAAAUUAAAAAGAUGUUUAAGUCAGUCUAAAAACUUUAAAAAAAAUUUUGGCCAAAGUUUUCCAAUUAGUAAAUUUACAAUAUAGAUAUAUAUUUUUUUCAUUGUAAUAAUUAACACAAACUCACAUUUUUCCUUCAUGUGGAUCUUCUUCCCGGCCCUAAAGGGAAGACACAUUAAGACAGUAUUUUAUAUAAUUAACUAUUAAUCUACUUCUAUUAAAAAUCAUAUCUUCAACCCACACUGCCCUUCACAUUUAUGUGUAUACAAGAAAAGAUGUUUCCGUUCAAGAAAUAUCUUUCCAUACCUAUCUUAAUCUUUUCUUGUUGCCAUUACCCUAACUCAGGCCCUCUUACCCAUUUUUCUUAAAUUAGUACAACAGCCCAACUAAUAUAAUUACCUCUAUGUCCUACUCCACCACUCUAACUUGGACACAUCAGUUUCAACAGCAGCUUUGCCCUACGUUAAGAAAAACCAAACACCUCUCUACUGCCUACAAAUUUCUCAUUCUGCAACUGAAGUCCUUUACCACAGGACUCAAGUCCACAUUUUCUGUCUCAUACUACCAAUUCUUUUUAGGUACCUAUGCCAUGGUCACACAUAACCUCCUAUUUGCCAAUUUCCUACCUGUAGCUUUUUCUUUUUGUUCUCAGAAUGUACUUUCUACUUUUUGCUUUCUACCUGUUAGUUAAAAACCUACCCCAUCUAGGAAGGAACCAUCACAAACGCUACCUCUUCAGCGAGACAUUUGAGCCCCUAAAAAGUGAACACCAACUUCGAAUAUAAAAGACAUCCCCCUUUUAUCAUGUUUUGAACUUUAUUUUAUACUAUACUCCUCUGAUUUAAGAUACUACAGUGUUACUCAUUCCACAUGGAGAAAAAUGAUCUAACUUGGAUUUAUUUUUCACAAUUUGGUCCUCACUCAUGAAAUACCUAAUCAAACUAAAAUCAAACACUCACUGAAUGCUACUAUAUCCAAGGCAGUUGGAAAACAAAAAAACUAUAAAAAUGAAUAGCAUUACCAUUAUAUCACUGCCCAAAAAGGGUUACUCUCUUAUAGAAGAAGUAUACAUAAUAAAUUAAUUUUAGACAGUGUAAUAGAAGGAAACAAUUUUGCCUAAGAGAUUCCAAAAAGGCAUAAAUCCUCUGUGAAACAAGAGGUGACACAUGAACUGAACUGAUAAAGAUGAAUCAAAUUUCACAAGGCACUCUAACAGGGCAGGAAUGUCAAGGAAGAGGGAAAACUAUAAGCAUAGAGACAUUCAUUUACGUAACAAACAUCUACUGAAUGCCUACUAAUGCCAGCCACUAUUCUAGGCAAUGGGAAUACAUGAGUCAAUCGGAGACAAAAGUCCCUCCCCUCACAGAGCAUACAUUCUAGAGUUAAUAUAUAAAAGCAUAAAUGUGUUUGGGGAAUAGUAAUUAUAAUUUUAGAGGGAGAAAUUCUUUAAAUCUAACCACUAACUGAAUGCCUGAAACAUCUUUGCAAUCUAAAAAUGUCCGAAUGGUUUUUUAAUCUACAAGGAAUUCACUAUCCUCUAAUAAAGCCCAUCAUGAAAAUUAUUCUACAUAUUGGAGUAAAAAUUAUUUAUAACUGACCUUUAAUUAUUCCACUAUUAAUUUAUAAUAUUACUAUAUUCAUUUUUAGCAACCACAUCACAUUAUUCAGUUAUACAAAGUUACUAACUUUUUCUUCAUCCCUUGUAUUGACUGAUGUUAGGUCAUGUCUCCUUAUUCUGGUUUGGGUUGUUACUAUUUUUCAGUAUAUGUUGAAUAAUUUUCACUUACUCUUAUUAAAGUUUAUCUUGUUAAAUUUGAUCCAGAAUUCCAAGAGCUCAAGAAAAGUUCAACAACAGUGCAAUUCCUUUAAGUAAUCAGGAUGGGGAAGAUGGUGGUAUAGGAGGGAGAGGGAAACCCAAACUAAAAGUUUUACUAACAAAUUUUAUAGGAAAACUAACAUAGUAAGAUGCUUCAGUAUGAAUACUGUUUGCCUAUAUGGAAUAAAUACCUCUUUCACUGUACAAUACAGAACAAUACACUGUACAAUAAUCUAGGAAUUAGGAGUCCUAAUCCUAGCUCUUUCACUAAACAACUAUAUGACUAUGAGUAUAGAAUGUAUCACACCAUUUCCUCAACUUUUUCCACCUCUACACACAGUAUGCUUUACUUCUAUAUAUGAAGAUCCAGUUGCCAGAAUAGACAGAUAAGAGUAUAGGAAAAGAAAUAUAUUCUCCACUGCAGUCUUCCAGGAGCAAUAAUCAGCACAUACAUUUCAGCAUAUUAUCAGGUCUUCUGAUGGUAUGAUUUAAAAAUAGUAGCUUUGAGGGUUGUAAGAGACAACAGAAAGCCACUCCAUCCCACUGGACAAAUCAGAAAGGAAAGGGAGAAUUCCAAAGUUAUAAUGUUUGACAAAUUUGAUACUGAGUGCUGUCUCUGAAGUAUAAAGGCUAUUCAAAUGCUAACCUGUUAUUAAAAAUGCACGUGGGAAUAGAUACCACAUGAUAACGUAUUAUAUGAUGGCAACAAAAAUAAGGAUGGUAUUCAAACUGUAAAACCAUGCAGUAACGUAUGCAUAAUACAAAUGAAUUCUUCCAAGUUUACUAGAAAAUUAUACAUAUAUUUGAAAGAUAAAGAAUCUGAAACCAAAUCUGUGCAACCAGUUGAGAGUCCAUGAUCAGACUGAUAUAACUUCAUUUAUGAGGAAGAUCAAGAAGGCAAAAAAGAGGACAAAAAUAAGCACAAAUGAGCCAGGUACAGGGGCUCACACCUGUCAUCCCAGCACUUUGGGAGGUCAAGGCGGUGGAUCACUUGAGGUCAGGCGUCUGAGACCAGCCUGACCAACAUGGUAAAACCCUGUCUCUAUUUUAAAAAAUUAAAAAAUUAGCUGAGCAUGGUGGCGCAUGUCUCUAAUCCCAGCUACUUUGGUGGCUGAGGCACGAGAAUCGCCUGAACCUGGGAGGUGGAGGUUGUAGUGAGUCGAGACUGUGCCACUGCACUCCAGCCUGAGCAACAGACCAAGACUCUGUCUCAAAAAAAGCACAAAUGUUAAUAUAUUUCUAAUUCAUAGAAACUCAUUAAGGCUUUCUGAAUAUUGGCAGCUACAUAUUAUAACAAGCUAGCUUAUGUGCCACACUAACAAACAGCACUUAUAAUAAAUAGAUUUUAACGAAAAACUCCUUGUACUUACCAAUUAAGUUCUUUUAUAAAAGAAAUGUAUUCAUAGCUACUUUCUCUGUUUAUGGGCAAGAUCCAAAUUUUAUCAAAUAAUUAGAAUUUAGAAUUGAGAAGAAAAGAACAAAACUUACCACCUCUUCUACUAGGUCUUCAACAAUAAGGCCUUGUUCAUCUGUUCUUAGAUUUGUAACCCACAUCCAUCCAUCUUCUAAUUCAUUAUGAACAAUGAACAUAUCUCCCUUUAGGAAACUGAAAACAGCAAUUUUUAAAUUAUUAAAAAAUUUAAAUACAUAAAUUCGAACAAUCAUACACCACAAAACAGGAUAGUUUUGAAAAAUACUAUAUUUUUCAAAACAGGAUAGUUUUGAAAAAUACUAUAUUGAAAAAUACAAGGAGUCAAAUACCCUAAAUUUGUAUCCUGUUUCUGGCAUUAUCUACAUGUAAAUCUCUGAAGAUAAUAAAUAAUCUGGAUCUUAAUUUCCUCAUGAAUAAAAUGAGUUUGAUAAUAGUAUUUGUACUAUCUCUAACACUGAAUUAUUGUUAGACUCAAAUUACAAUUUCUGUUAACAGAAACUAAUUAUACAUAUAUUAAAGGUUUUGGGGUGUAAGAAAACAAUUGAAAAAUUUAUGUAAAGAGUAAUAAUGUUAUUACUCUUUCAGAUGUAGGUUAUAUAUAAAAUCAAAAACAAGGAUGAUAUUCGAACUGUAUAAAUGAAUUCUUCCAAGUUUACUGGAAAUUUAUAUAUGUAUUUGAAAAAUAAAGAAUCUGAAACCAAACACGUACAGCCAGUUGAGAUUUCAUGAUCAGACUGAUAUAACUUCAUUUAUGACAAAGAACAAGAAGGCAAAAAAUACAUGCUUUGAAAGAAUGCUUCUUAACACAAAGUUUCAAGAUUUGUUGGAUGCUACCAUUAAUCCUGUAUCUGUAACUGUAUCUAUCAUAUUUUUCAACAAUUUUCCUUUCAGUCUUAAUAUUCACAAAGCAAAGUCUAUUAAGUAAAUUUAAGUUAAUCUAGUCUCCUAUCCUUGAAAGCUUUAACUGUUUUCUCUAUGCUAUCUCAAGCUUCACUGUUUGCACAGUGUUUCAAAAAACAGAACUUAUAUACAACAUUUAACUCAGUAAUUGAAUAAUCAUAGAAUAUUAUAUUCUAUCUUGAUUCUACAGUCAUUCUUAAUGAUGGCCAAUAUUUCCCUAGCUGAAUGGCAGCAGACAUGAUCACUUAACCAAUUAAAUUAUUCCUUUCUAGAACCACUUAAGCACAUUAAGGAAAAUCAUUGAGUGUGUAAACGGAGGGUGCACAUGAACUGGUAAAUUUCAUUUCUUAGUUGAAAGUAGUCAUUUCUUAGCUGAAAGUUUCAAUGUUGUUACUAUACCAACUUUUCAUGGUGCAAAAACUAAAAAAAAUUUUUAAAUAAGCUUGUUAGUAGUAAUACAACAUAACCAUAACUCACUCUGUAUUAUUUUGUGUUUUCCCCCUCAAAACAAACUAAAAUGAUUUAUUAAAUCAUUAAUUUUUAAGGUAUUUUAUUUUAAAAUUCACAGGUAUGCACAAAUUUGUUAAAAGACUCAUAAACCCAAAUUUAUAUCAUCUAAUUAUUGUUUAAAUUCCCAUCCUCUUUUUCUUUGCUCUCUCAGGACCUCUUACACUCUUAAAAAUUGAUAAUCUAAGUGGCUUUAUUUAUAUGGAUAUCUAUAGAUAUUUACCAUAUUCAAAUUUAAAACAAAUAUUUAAAAAAUAUUAAUUCCUUUAAAAAACUCAUUAAAAAUAUGAAAAAUAUUUAUAACUUUUACAAAUUUAGUGAGAAUAUCACUGUUUUGUAAUUUUGCAAAUCUCUUAAUGCCUGGCUUAAUUGAAAACUGCUGGAGUCCCAUAUCUGCUUCUGUAUUAAAUUUGCUGCUAUAUGAUUUUUUGCUCAAAGCAUAUGAAGAAAAUCUGGCUUCACCUAAGAAUAUAGUAUAAAAGAGAUAAAUAUUUUAAUAACCUUUUCUGAUAAUUAUAGAUAUUCUAUGAAAUCACACCAAAAUCUCAACGAGUGGUACUAUCUUGAAGGUUAGUUGUAAUAUGGAAUCCAAAACUAUUUAUCAGUGAACUUUCUGUAUGCAUUCCAGUAACAUCUACUGGUCUAUCUAGCACUUUGAAUUAAUCUUUUACUCAUGCAUAACGUCAUACAUUUACCAUUUAGAAAAUAUUAGUUCGCUGAGCUAUGUCUAUCUUCUAGUUAUUAACACAUUAUAUACGCUAUCAAAACCUCUUAUUCUUGGCCAGGCACAGUGGCUCAUGCCUGCAAUCCCAGCACUUUGGGGAGGGCAGGUCACCCAAGGUCAGGAGUUCAAGACCAACCUGGCCAACAUGGUGAAACUCCGCCUCUACUAAAAAUACCAACAUCAGUCAGGUGUGGUAGCAGGCGCCCACAGUUCCAGCUACUCAGGAGGCUGAGGCAGGAGAAUUGCUUGAAUCUGGGUUGCAGAGGUUGCAAUGAGCCAAGAUCGUGCCAUUGCACUCCAGCCUGGGUGACAAGCAAAACUCGUCUUUAAAAAAAAAAAAAAAAAAAGGAAAAAAAAAUUUAUUCUUUAUUAUCACCACCUAUCUCAUCAGAAAAGUCAUUAUCUCAGAAAUUGUAAAAUUCUUAAUGGCCAAUACAGAAAAGUCUAAAAUUCUCAUUUUUACUCAAAACUCAAAUUUUGUUAUUGACAACAAAUACUAACAGUUAUUUUCCUUGAAAUAAUAGUCUCACUUUGUUCUUUUUCAAAAAAUGUUAAACAUUCUCGCAAGUGAAAUGGUGUGCACAAAAGUAACAGCUAAGCCAAGCGCAAGGGCUCAUCCCUGUAAUAACAGUACUUUGGGAAGCCAAGGCGGGCAGAUCACUUGAGGUCAGGAGUUCGACACUGGCCUGGCCAACACGGCAAAACCCCAUCUCUACUAAAAUACAAAAAAUUAGUUGGACCUCGUGCCACACGCCUAUAAUUCCAGCUGCUCAAAAGACUGAGGCAUGAGAAUCCCUUGAACCUUGAGGAGGUGGAGGCUGCAGUGAAACAAGAUUGUGCCACUGCACUCCAGCCUAGGUGACAGAGCAAGACUCUGUCUCUAGUUCAGUUAUCUCACAUUGCUUUUUCUCAUGGCACUGAUCUUGGGUACAUAGCAGAAGUGUUUUAUACAUACUUCCCAUUUCAUCAUACAGAUUAAAGUUGUAUGGUCACAGGUUGAAAUUUAAUAAAUAUUGUUUACUUCCUCAUUAAUAAUGCUGUUACAUGAAGCUGUCUUUAACCCCAAGUGUGUAACAGUGAAGAAUACUGUACACUUUUGUACCACAGUCUUCAUUUCUACUAAGACACUGCAGUUUUACCACCCAUUGCUUUUGUACCAUCACUGUAAAAUUCACAAUGAAAAAGGCAAAUUAUGUCUUAGUAUGGUUAUGAAAAUAAUCUGAUCUCAUGGGUUGUGAUGAUCAAUUUUAUGUGUCAACUUGGCUGGGCUGCAGAGUUCCCAGAUUAAAUAUUAUAUUUCUGGGUUUGUCUGUGAGGGUGUUUCUUAAUGAGAUCAGCAUUUGAAUCAGAGGACAGUAUCCUGCCGUCCCCAGUGUAAGCAGGCAUCAUCCAGUUGACUAAGGGUCUGAAGAGAACAAAAAGUGGAGGAGGAAGAAAUUCAUCCCUUUUUUUCUUCCUCACUGAUUGUGCUGGGACAUUUCAUCUCAUCUCCUGCACUCAAACUAGGAUUUACAUCAUAGGCUCCCCAGUUCUCAGGUCUUUAGAUGUAGAUUGAAUUAUACCACUGGCCUUCUUGGGUUUCCAGAUUGCAGACAGCCGACUGUGGGUCUUUUCUGCCUCUAUCUAUCAUUGGGGGAACCAAUUCCCAAUAAUAAAUCUUCUCCUCUAGAGAACGCUGACUAAUACAUGAUUCGAAAUGGGUCUCAAAGAUCCCCAGAGUUACAUAGAACAUGCUUUGAGAACUGCUGUCCUAAAUGAUUCCACAAAAAAUUAAAAAUUACCUAAAUUCCUAAAUUUAUAAUUCAUCACUGUUCUUCUUUAAUGUACGCAUUUUCUCCUUUGUCUUUUAUAGGGCUUUCCAGUUUAUAUUACAAAUUACAAUGUGUCAAUAAGAAUUAAAUGAGAUAAUUAAUGGCAAGAAACAAAGUUUCCACUAGAAAGUUAAAUAGCUUAUAGAAAGACACAGAAAAUUUGAUUAUCAAGUUACAAAAUAAAUUAUAUAGAAAUUAAAAAAACUAACAUGUUGCAUAGUUCUAUAACAUUCCAAAGGAUCUGAUCCACCCUGACAGGAGUGAAUAUAAUAGGAGAAAUCUUCCAAUCUAGCUCUUUAAAAUGCCUAUACAUGAGAAUAGAUUAUAAAAUACCUUAUUUCAUCAGUGUCUGGUACUUUUGUGUAAGGCAGAAUAGCUCGUACACGUCUUCUAUCUUCUACUGGCUAGAAACCGUUAAAAAAAACAGGGUUUUAAAAAGACAAUCUUUUUAUCUGAAAGUCAAAAGAGGCAUAUCUACACAGUUAAAGUCAAUAAACAUUCACAUCAGACACUCCAUGAGAUCAAAUAAAUUUUUACUUGGACUAUAAACACCCAGUGCCUAGCAAGGCUAUUUUGUUGUUUUUGUUUUUAUGAAAAUUAUAUUUUAAAUAUAAGCAAUCUGCUUUUAUCAGGUAAUAUGAAUGAUCAUUUCAUUUUAAAUAUACCAUAUGAAACAUGUAAGUUAACCUUUCUCUUAUGAUACAGAAGGCAUUUCAGAAUCCAGCAGCAAAGUCAGGUUUAGUACUAUGAAAUCAGUAAUUUGCCCUUAUACAUUCAGAAAUAUUUGUUAGGCUAUCACCUUACAGUAUUUUUUUAAAUCUGAUUUCUUAAAUAAAAAAUUACUGAAAAGUAUUUUCUUUUUCAAAGAAGUUGUCCAUUUCGUUCUGACAUUAUAACCCGAAUUAAAAUUUAAUACAACGAAUACUUCUUGAAUUAUAGUAAACAUAAGAAACUGAACAACAACAGCUAGUCAUUAUUAUAGUGAAAAAAUAAACUUUUGAAAACUUGCCUCUGGUGGUGCAACUGGAUAAAGCAAUUUUUCUCCUUUAAGCAAACAAGAAACAUGACUGUAAUAACCUAUUAGAUCUGACAGUGAAGAAAAACGUCUUCCACCAAUGUAGUAAUCACCACACAUAGCAAUAAUCCUAUUUGAACAGGAAAAAAUAACAGGAUAAAAAAUCUUUACAGCCAAUUUUAAAGACCAAGUUUCACAAAGAAAUUACAAAUCCGAAAUUUCCAUGCUCUUUUCCUUGUAACUACAUCCUUACACUAAAAUACCAUCUUUAUCAUAGCAAAUUACUUGGGGCUAUUUCUCUUACAUAUAUAUACAUGCAUUUGAUAUGAAAUACGUAUCAGGCUUAUAAACCUCAAUUACAGAAUUCCAUCAAAUAUUUGAAAAUUCACCCUCAGAUACCUCUUCUCACUUUCCGUAUUUAGGGCCAAAUUAACAAUUUUGUAAGUUUUCUCUGGCUAAAAGUAGCUCACAGAUCUGUUGAAAUAUUUACACAAAGUACAGUAAUAAUUUUACAUACUACAUGUGGGAUCAUGGUACUAGUAAAGCUUACUUUAAAAUCUAAAAACCAAGGGUACACAAACAUUUUAUCAUUUAACACUAUAUGCAUUAGAUGAUUUUUUUCAACUUCUUCUGUAAAAGUGAAACAGAAUAUAAUAUACAUAAAUAUAUUUAUAUAUACAGAAUUAAUAUUUGCACUUGAAAAUUUACAUGCCUGUUUCACUGAAGUACAUGUCUACAAAGGGUUUCAGAAUAGUGAAGCUAAAAUAAAGCACACAAACUGAGUUUUAAACAGGGUCUCCUAUACUUUUUGUUAUUCUAUAGUCUAAAAGUAUGUAAUUCCUUUCCUUUAGCCUACUAAAGUUUAUUUGUAAUUCUUUAUGCUUUAAAAGCUAUAAAUAUAUUUGAGAAUCAGCACAGUAAUGCCCAACAAUAUUGUUUUUAAAAAAAAAUUUGACCAUUCAAAAGAAUCUCUCUAAAUCACUGAUGAAAUCAUUUGACUGAAAACAAGCAUCCUUUUCCAUUAUUUGUUACUGAGUAAUUCAUCUUUAUUAUACAGGUAUAUUUAUAAAUAUUAUAUAAAAAUAAUUAUACCAUGUGGCUUCAUAAUAGGAAUAAAGACUUACCUAAAAUGGUUGACAACAUUCAUCUGGCUAAGAAAUGAAAGUACAAAGGACCCUGGCCUCCGAUCACUCUCUCUUAUAAGAUAACUGCCAGAUUUUCCUGCCUGCCUGAGGCGUUCUUCUGCUAUCGUUCUAUCAAGUUUUCCAUGAUACCACCUAGGGGAAAAGAGAGAAGAUAUUACAAUAUAAAUUGCAACUGUAAAAUUUCUAUUGGUACUUGAAAAACAUAUCACUAGGGUUUUAAAUGCCUACAUGUAACUUUAAACAUUUAUAUUUUACUCUGAACCAAUUAAUCCAAUUUUAACUCAAUUCUAUUUAACCUCAGUCUCUCAAAAAAUACUCAUUUACUUGGUCUUUAAUUUGUUCUAGAAGUUCAGUCCUAGUCAUCUCAUACAUAAAUUCUUCCAUUUCUACCCAUCUUCCUACCUCCAGGAUUGCCUGCUAUUCAAAAUAUAAAACUACAGCAACCCAAUCUUUACUUAGAAAAAUAAAAUUUGGACAAAUGGAAAUGAUUAAUUUACCACUUGUAUCUUAUACUAAGGAAUCAAGACUUUACCAGUUCCAUGGAAACUAUGAGUAUAUAAAAUGUUUUAUUCUAUUUUAGUGUUUGUGCCCUGAGACAGGAAAACAGAAUUACACUGUCUAAAGGAUGCUAUUCUAAUUUCCUAUUUGAACAUGAAGCUGAUUAAUCCCUUUGGCUCUAAAAUAAUCUACUCCAUGACUAUAAAUGUGCACUCAACUUUCCAAACUUAUUUAACAAACAUGUGGAAGAAUAAAUAGCACCUUUGUCCCUUCACCCUUAUGGCUCUCAAUUUAACUGUACUCUACCUACAUACUAUCAAAUGAUCUGCUUAAGAAACUGGCUAUAACUCUAGCAUCAUCCAUGAUACCAAGUAUACCUAUCAAAGCCUCAUGGACUGAUAUAAACAGAAACAUACUUAGAAAUAUACCAGAAAUAUCAAACAAGCAUGGUAACAAAUCUCCAAAGUAAUUGUUAUAAAAUCUUUUUACAUUUUUGAUAGUUUAGCCAAACUCAUCCUUAGAUACUUACAGCCGAAUUGGAAACUUUCAGAGUAAAACAAUAAACAUUCAUAUUACAUUGAUAUAUUCAAUUAUGUUACAUAAUAUAGUAUUUCAGCUUUAACAAUGUUUCUUUGUAAUCUUAAUGUUUAUAAUAAUGUAGUAUGUAUAUUAUAUAUGAGCCAAUGAUAAAUGCAUUAUGCUAUUAUUAUUUUUGUAAGACUGUUGUAGUAAAAGCUCAUUAUUCUUGAUUCCUUAAUUUAUAAAAAUAAAACAGAAGGGCCGGGCACAGUGACUCAUGCCUGUAAUCCCAGCACUUUGGGAGGCUGAGGCGGGCAGAUCACAAGGUCAAGAGAUUGAGACCAUUUCUGGUCAACAUGGUGAAACCCCAUCUCUACUAAAAAUACAAAAAUUAGCUGGGAGUGGUGGCACACGCCUCUAGUGCCAGGUACUCAGGAGGCUGAGACAGGAGAAUCGCUUGAACCUGGGAGGCGGAGGUUGCAGUGAGCUAAGAUCACGCCACUGUACUCCAGCCUGGUGACAGAGUGAGACUGUUUCUAGAAAUAAAAAUAAAACAAAAAUACAGAAACUUAAAACUUCUUAAGAAUUACUUUUAGUUUUCUUCUAAAACCAACCUAUGUAUUUAGAGCCCUAUGCAUAAGACUAAAAAUAAUGAAAAACUUAUUUAUAAAACAUAAUUGUAAACUGUCAGUAUUAGAACAAUCAAUCUUGCAUUCCUCUGAAAUCCUAAUCUUAGUGUAGCCAUUAUCUUUGAGACAAAUGACAAUUAAAUUUAACUUUCAAGAACUCGAGGAUUUUUUUAAUCUGAAAUGAAAAGUUUACACUGGAGAUCAUAAAGGUCCUUUGAAGAACUAUAAUUUAACUACACAAGAAAAUAAAAUUUUGAAAUUUCAGGCUAUAAGGUUUAGUAUAAAAAUAUAUGGGAUAUCCUUAGAACAUAAAACUAGUAUAUUCCCCAUUACUUAAAGCAGUGGAACUAUCCCAGAGAACAGAUUUAUAUAUCCAACAAAGAUAAAAUUAAGGACAAUUUUAAGCAAAUCUCUAUUUUUAUGUACUUGUUAUUUGUAAAAUUUCUGUUGUGUCUUAGGCACUAUCAAGAUGAAAAGGUUUUAUUUAAUCUCCUUCAUCUUUUGAAUUCACCAUGAAAUGAUACACAGAGAUCCAUGAGGCAUUACAAAAUUACUACUUUAUAAUAGAUAUCUGACUUAGGAUUUUAAUUGAUACAUGUUUAUUUGUGGUUUUCAGUUUUUUUUUUUGUUUUGUAUUUUUAAGAUGGGGGUUUCACUCUGUUGCCUAGGCUGGAGUGCACUGGUAUCAUCUCACCUCACUGCAACCUCCACCUUCUGGGCACAAGCCAUCCUCCCACCACAGUCUCCCAAGUAGCUGAGACUGCAGACACAUGCUACCAUGCCCAGCUAAAAUUUUUUUUUUUUUUUUUUUUUAAUAGAGAACAGGGUUUUGCCAUGUUGCCCAGGCUGGUCUCAAAUUCCUCGACUCAAGUGAUGUGCCCACCUUAGCCUUCCAAAGUGCUGGGAUUACAGGUGUAAUCUACCACACCGAGUCAGUUUUUUACAUCUAUGUACUUUCCCUAAGAUCUGAGCAUUAAAAUGGGUAGGUCAGUUCUGGAAAAAGACAUUAAUCUAAAUAAGUAACUGUUUCCUACACAAUAGUAAUUUCCUUUCAUGUCAAAAGGUCAUAAGCUUCAAACACAUAAGGCAAAACAUGUCAAUUCUUGAUUAUGACUAUAAACUAUAAUUAAAUUAUCCAGCCAUCAGCUUGUAAACAUUUAUGCAGUUGAUUUGAUCCUUAAAAAAUGUUAAACCAUUUCAACUGUAACAAACCUCUGGCCCAGCCAGAAAUUCUGAUAUAUGAAAACAGUUUAGGCUGAUAGAACUCAGAGAAGGAUGGCUAUGCUGACACUCCCUGAGCUUGUUCAAAAGAGAGAGAGCAUACUAACAGAAGACCAAGACUUACCAGAAACCCAAGAAACCUCCAAUCUAUGGUGAGGCCACCCUAAACAUACCCAAUCUCAUCAGAAACAUCUCCAGUUAUGGCCAAGUGUUUAUUUACGUUUUGUAUGUCGUUAUCAUCACUUGUAAAUGAGAAAAAUUAAUUUCUAUCUUAACCUCAGAAUAUAAUUAAAUACUUGUCCUAAAUUCCUACAAAGAAAAACACAAAAAUGAAAAAUAUUACAUAGGCUUUAUAGUGGAAUGGUUAGGAGAAAAGUUUCUAGAGUCACUGUUUUUGAAUCCCACCUCUACCACCUAGCUGUGCAAAUGUAGGCAGAUUACUUUAUCUCUGAACCUCAGUUUCCUCAUCUAUAAAAGGAAUACAAUAGUGUCUAUCUCACAGACUGUUGGCUUAAUAUUAUUAAAUGAGCUAGCAUGUAUAAAGUUGCUUAGAAGAGUACCUAAUGGAUAGCAAGAACUCAGUAAAUAUUAGCUGGAUUAUUAUCAAACCAACACAGAGGAGUAGAGGAUACUCAAAGGCUAUGGGACUUCUUCAAGAAAACUAUCCAGUUUUAUGACUGUUACAUAAUGGGUGAUCAAUCUGUGAAUGAUCUUAGUCUCAAUUACCCUAUUUUCCAGUCUUGUUUACUUUCCAUCCAAUUUGAGGUAGAGAAAAGGAGAACCCAAUCAUUCUUCUUCUACUAAGGCAUUAAUUUUAGGAAGAAAUUUUCUCAAAACACUUUUUGAACAUUAUAGAUUAUACAGACUGCAGGGCUGCAGAUGCCAUAGUAUUAAUAAACUAGAAAUUCUUACAUUUCACCUGGCAACUCUAGAAGGAAACUCUAAAGGAGCCCCUAUUCUUUUCCCAAUGUGCACAUAUUUUUGGAGGCUGAGGUACAGUAUAAAGGACAGUAUGUACUUGAGAUACCGUGACUUAAAACUGCUUAAUAUAACACGUUAAUAAUAAAGCAUUUAAUGUUCUCCUAUUUUAAAAGUAAAUUUCCCUGUCUCUUCUUCUUUGCCUCUCUAAGGAAGAUGGGAAAAGGAAUAGAAGCAGGAAAUUCAAGAAGUACAUAUAUGUAUUCAUAGCUGGCUUUGUAAAUUUUUCUUGAGAAAUCUUACAGGCAGAUAUGGAACCCCUUGAUUUCAUUUUUCUUAGAACUACAAAUCAAUUUAUAUACAAUAUCAUACAUCUAAGAUAAAAUCACAUGUAGAAUAAGUGAACAAAAAAAGUUACAGAAAUUGCUCUAUUUUAAAUUUGGAAUUACAUCAAUAUUUUUUAUAAAAUGUGUGCUGUAGCUAGCAUGGUGGCUCACACCUUUAUAUCCCAGGACUUUGGGAGGCUGAGGCGGGGACUGCUUGUCCCCACGAGUUCAUGACCAUGAACAACAUGGCAAAAUCCCACCUCCACAAAAAAAUACCAAAAUUAGCCAGUCAUGGUGGAACAUGCCUAUGGUCCUAGCUACUCGAGAUGCUAAGAUAGGAGGAUGGCUUGAGCCCAGGAAGUCAAGGCUGCAGUGAGCUGAGAUCGUGCCACUGCAUUCCAGACUGGGCAACAGAGCAAGAUCCUGUCUCAAGGGGGGAAAAAAUAUGCUGCAUAUUGCUGAACACCUUUGAGGAGCCUUAGAGUAGUCUUUGUGUUUUUUAGUCUGUUUCACUUGAUCAGAGAAAAAUAUGGAAAUCUAUGCUACGAAAAAAUAUCCUACUGUGAAUACAGACAGGCAUUUCAUUGAAACUGUACAAUUAUUUACAACUAACUUGAUAAUCCCAAAUGAAAACUGUCUACUACACAAAAGAAAACCAUUAAAACAGUGCUAACAUAAAUAGACUUCCUUUUAGAAAAAGAAACUAUAUUGAAGUUACCAGCAGAUCACUUUUAGUUUCCACUGUGUUCUUCCUUUUGGUUAUAUCACCGACAGGCACCAAGUUGUUACAGAGAAACAUACAUGCAGAAAUCCAAUUGCCAAAAAAUACUUUGUCGUCUCAAUCACUUGGGACUCUGUGUGCCUGAUCAUAUUACAAACUUCUGAAGUUACUCUGUAAGUCUCAAAAUGCUAAUCAGACUUUCCUAUACAUGUUUGUGUCUUCUAAAACUAAAUUGGUGAUUUCAGGUUGGUAUGAAUUUGCUAAAACAUAAAAAUCAUCUAAAGUUCCCAUAUUUAUUUGUAACAAAUACAAUUCUUACUGUCUGUGAUAUGGUUUGGCUGUGUCCCCACCCAAAUCUCAUCUUGAAUUGUAGUUCCCAUAAUCCCCACAUAUUGUGGGAGAGAUCUGGUGGGAGGUAACUGAAUUAUUGAGGCAGUUAACUCCAUGCUGCUGUUCUUGUGAAAGUGAGUGAGUUCUCAUGAGAUCUGAGGGUUUUAUAAGGGGCUUUUCCCCCUUUUCCUCAGUACAUCUCCUUGAUGACACCAUGUGAAGAAGGGCAUGUUUGCUUCCCCUUCUGCCAUGAUUUUAGGUUUCCUGAGGCCUUUGCAGUCUUGUAGAACUGUUAAUCAAUUAAACUUCUUUCCUUUAUAAAUGA